UACGUAGGGUGCGAGCGUUAAUCGGAAUUACUGGGCGUAAAGCGUGCGCAGGCGGUCUGUUAAGACCGAUGUGAAAUCCCCGGGCUUAACCUGGGAAUGGCAUUUGGGACUGCAAGGCUGGAGUUUGGCAGAGGAGACUGGAAUUCCUGGUGUAGCAGUGAAGUGCGUAGAUAUCAGGAGGAAUACCGAUGGCGAAGGCAGGUCUCUGGGCUAUAACUGACGCUCAUGCACGAAAGCGUGGGGAGCAAACAGG
RNAcentral lists this ribosomal RNA (253 nucleotides) under uncultured bacterium. RNAcentral describes it as "partial 16S ribosomal RNA". It matches the Rfam family "Bacterial small subunit ribosomal RNA", at positions 524 to 776 of the family's 1533-position model. The record is from RNAcentral.